CGUUGACGCAUUUCACUGUAUGUUUCAAUGUACCUGCGAUAAACAAAGGUCAUUACACCUUUACCUGGACCAUUGGGCUACCAAGCAGUCGAAAGCUUUCGUGGACCAAGUUUCCUAUGGAAGCCAGCCUCCUCGAUGAUUUUAUCUUCAAUAGACCUCUUGCCCAUUCCGAAAUCCCGCAGAGUUGAGAGCGUGAACCUUCGCAUCUGUUUCCAGGGCUCUCCAUUGGACCAGACCACGCCUGCAAGCAGACACAUCUACAUGAUAAAUACUUCUGCUAUACCCAUAUUAACAUAUUCUUUUGGCAUAAUAUCUUGAUCCAAAACCAAUCUGGAAAAUUUAUUAAGAAAAAUAAGAAAUGAAAACACUCUGUACACUUAAACACACUGAGCGUAACAUUACCUAGGACAGAAGGAGGAAUAGGAAUUACAGACACUAAAAAUGUGCAUAACAGUCAGAUGAAACUUCUAAGGAUGUAUUUCAUCAAUGAAAACAGGAAUCAGCGCUCCACGCGAGCAUAUUCAAUGUUGAUAAGAAGUACACACCACUAAACUUAAGAGAAAGCCCAGACCAGAAACUGAAGAUAUUAUCGCUAUUGAAGGAAAGGUUAACGAGUGGAAGAGCAUGGUCUUCUGUGGAAGACACUCCCCUGAUCUGAGCAGACUAGAUGUCGACAAGGAAACAUCAAGCGCCUGACUCAGAGUUGAAGACCUCUUCACAGACACAGAGUUCCUUGUGGCAAUGCAGGACCAAGUGGUUAAGACAAAAUGUAUCAGAAGUACAUAAUAAAAGAUCAACUGAUUCAAGAGGAUAAAUGCGGAGAAUGCCCGGAGAAAUAAGUAACAAUCCAACACAUUGCAGGAUCCUGCAGCAAUUCAACUCAGUUUGAUUGCUUACACAGGCGCAAGUCACAAACAUCAUUCACAAGAUUCAAACUCAUGAGAAACACCAUACCUUACUAUCAAUCCAAGUCUGAUCCAAUUUUAGAGCUAAUGUCCUACAAAUUACUUUAUGACUGAUCCAUUAUUACAAAUAGUACAAUCAUAACAAUGGUCUGUAUAAACAAGGAAGAACAACUUACUUAAUAGAUAUAGCCAUUCGAAACACACAUAAUCAA
This is a long non-coding RNA of Hypanus sabinus (Atlantic stingray), 1117 nucleotides long. RefSeq lists it as uncharacterized. NCBI's taxonomy places the organism in Eukaryota, Metazoa, Chordata, Chondrichthyes, Myliobatiformes, Dasyatidae. The transcript is spliced from 3 exons. The record is from RefSeq and is a predicted model, not a curated record.